This 524-nucleotide ribosomal RNA is filed under the name uncultured bacterium. RNAcentral describes it as "bacterial SSU rRNA". It matches the Rfam family "Bacterial small subunit ribosomal RNA", at positions 355 to 896 of the family's 1533-position model. The record is from RNAcentral.
UGGGGAAUAUUGGACAAUGGACCAAGAGUCUGAUCCAGCAAUUCUGUGUUCACGAUGACGUUUUUCGGAAUGUAAAGUGCUUUCAGUUGGGAAGAAAAAAAUGACGGUACCAACAGAAGAAGUGACGGCUAAAUACGUGCCAGCAGCCGCGGUAAUACGUAUGUCACAAGCGUUAUCCGGAUUUAUUGGGCGUAAAGCGCGUCUAGGUGGUUAUGUAAGUCUGAUGUGAAAAUGCAGGGCUCAACUCUGUAUUGCGUUGGAAACUGUGUAACUAGAGUACUGGAGAGGUAAGCGGAACUACAAGUGUAGAGGUGAAAUUCGUAGAUAUUUGUAGGAAUGCCGAUGGGGAAGCCAGCUUACUGGACAGAUACUGACGCUGAAGCGCGAAAGCGUGGGUAGCAAACAGGAUUAGAUACCCUGGUAGUCCACGCCGUAAACGAUGAUUACUAGGUGUUGGGGGUCGAACCUCAGCGCCCAAGCAAACGCGAUAAGUAAUCCGCCUGGGGAGUACGUACGCAAGUAUG